GACGAACGCUGGCGGCGUGCUUAACACAUGCAAGUCGAACGCUGAAGCUCAGCUUUUGUUGGGUGGAUGAGUGGCGAACGGGUGAGUAACACGUGAGUAACCUGCCCCCUUCUUUGGGAUAACGCCCGGAAACGGGUGCUAAUACUGGAUAUUCACUGGUCUUCGCAUGGGGGUUGGUGGAAAGGGUUUUUCUGGUGGGGGAUGGGCUCGCGGCCUAUGAGCUUGUUGGUGGGGUGAUGGCCUACCAAGGCUUUGACGGGUAGCCGGCCUGAGAGGGUGACCGGUCACAUUGGGACUGAGAUACGGCCCAGACUCCUACGGGAGGCAGCAGUGGGGAAUAUUGCACAAUGGGCGCAAGCCUGAUGCAGCGACGCCGCGUGAGGGAUGGAGGCCUUCGGGUUGUGAACCUCUUUCGCUCAUGGUCAAGCCGCAACAAUGGUUGUGGUGAGGGUAGUGGGUAAAGAGGCGCCGGCUAACUACGUG
This 483-nucleotide ribosomal RNA is filed under the name uncultured bacterium. RNAcentral describes it as "partial 16S ribosomal RNA". It matches the Rfam family "Bacterial small subunit ribosomal RNA", at positions 28 to 507 of the family's 1533-position model. The record is from RNAcentral.